UACGUAGGGGGCGAGCGUUGUCCGAAGUUACUGGGCGUAAAGCGCGCGUAGGCGGUCUUUUAAGUCUGGGGUGAAAGGUUCAACGCUCAACGUGAACAGUGCCUUGGAUACUGGGAGACUUGAGUCUGGGAGAGGGUAGUGGAAUUCCUGGUGUAGCGGUGAAAUGCGCAGAUAUCGGGAGGAACACCAAUGGCGAAGGCAGCUCGCUGGGACGUUACUGACGCUGAGACGCGAAAGCGUGGGGAGCAAACAGG
RNAcentral lists this ribosomal RNA (254 nucleotides) under uncultured bacterium. Its description in RNAcentral is "partial 16S ribosomal RNA". It matches the Rfam family "Bacterial small subunit ribosomal RNA", at positions 524 to 776 of the family's 1533-position model. The record is from RNAcentral.